GGCGAACGCUGGCGGCGUGCUUAACACAUGCAAGUCGAACGGAAAGGCCCUGCUUUUGUGGGGUGCUCGAGUGGCGAACGGGUGAGUAACACGUGAGUAACCUGCCCUUGACUUUGGGAUAACUUCAGGAAACUGGGGCUAAUACCGGAUAGGAGCUCCUGCUGCAUGGUGGGGGUUGGAAAGUUUCGGCGGUUGGGGAUGGACUCGCGGCUUAUCAGCUUGUUGGCGGGGUAGUGGCUUACCAAGGCUUUGACGGGUAGCCGGCCUGAGAGGGUGACCGGCCACAUUGGGACUGAGAUACGGCCCAGACGCCUACGGGAGGCAGCAGGGGGGAAUAUUGCACAAUGGGCGGAAGCCUGAUGCAGCAACGCCGCGUGCGGGAUGACGGCCUUCGGGUUGUAAACCGCUUUCGCCUGUGACGAAGCGUGAGUGACGGUAAUGGGUAAAGAAGCACCGGCUAACUACGUG
This 468-nucleotide ribosomal RNA is filed under the name uncultured bacterium. RNAcentral's name for it is "partial 16S ribosomal RNA". It matches the Rfam family "Bacterial small subunit ribosomal RNA", at positions 28 to 507 of the family's 1533-position model. The record is from RNAcentral.